This 405-nucleotide long non-coding RNA is filed under the name Rattus norvegicus (Norway rat). RNAcentral describes it as "long non-coding RNA NONRATT024286". Lineage: Eukaryota; Metazoa; Chordata; Mammalia; Rodentia; Muridae. The record is from RNAcentral.
GUAGGUCAACAUGUCCUUUAUAGCAGAGAAUGGAGCUACAAGGCUAGAGGAUCUCGCCCAUACCGGAUUGAGGAGGCUUCAAGAGCAGCUGGUGAGGGCCGGACCGAAUCCAGAAGGGCGGGCCCUUGGUCCUGCGCUCACCCACGCAGGUGUAUUUCUAUACAUACCGCGUGGGUGUAUUUCUACCAAUGAAGGUCACAUACAGGAAGGAAUGAAGGACCAACACGGUGUCCAGGCUGACAAUAGGAAAACGGAGGUUCGGAUGGCUCGGGGAAACAUGUCAAUCACGAGAGCAAGCACGCUAGCCAGCACAGGGAGGCCGAGAGAAGAUGUGCACUGAGAGAGACUGGGUCUGGGUCUUGGCCUGCAAGGUGGACCCUGACCCCGGAAUCUUCAGGACGGUUU